CACCGUCUAGGACUGUCAUCGCCAUCCGUGAUCUUCUGUUCGACGACAUGCUAAGCCAAUCAAGGAAGAAUGGCGGAAACGUCGGUGAUGGCUGUGAGAAAUUGAGCAUCAACAAGAAAAAGGUGCACCAGGCAGAGAAGAUGAUCAGGGGGGCACUGGUUGAGCUGUACAAGGGCUUGGGGUACCUGAAGACGUACCGGUAGGUGUAGCUCAUGACAUGGUGUGUAGUAAUGCUUUGUGCACCAAACUGAUACUGACAGGGAGAGCAUUCUUGUUGCAGGAGCUUGAACAUGUUGGCUUUUGUGAAGAUUUUGAAGAAAUUUGACAAGGUUCCUCCCAAUGCAUCUCUCCUUAUUGCAUUGCCUGAGAAAUCACAUAUGAGCAUUGCUGAAAAAAAAAACUCAUGUUUCAGGUUACAGCAAAGGAAGUCCAGACAAUUUACCUGAAAGUCGUGGAGAGCUCCUAUUUUAAUAGCUCUGACAAGGUAUUUUGCAAUGAUACAGCAGUCUUGAGAAGCUUUGAAGCAUUUCAUUUCCAUCAAAACUUCAAAGUUUCCUGGUUUUGACUGAAAUUCUCAUCUCAAUAGGCAAUCAGGCUAAUGGAUGAUGUUGAGGAGCUGUUUGUUAGACAUUUUGCCAAUGGUGAUAAAAGGAAAGCAAUGAAGUAUCUCAAGCCAAAUCAGAAGGAAGAAUCACACUCUACCACAUUUUUCAUAGGUACAAUAGUUUUCUUGUAAGCUUUGCAUCGUUCCUUCGUCAGGAUAAUUUCCAAGUCCUUGUGCACUACUGUCAAAUUUUCAGGUCUAUUCACUGGUGGGUUUGUAGCACUAUUCAUCGGUUAUUGUAUCAUGGCACAUAUAGCUGGGAUGUACACUCAACAAUCAAACAAGGUCUACAUGUCAACAUCCUAUCCUGUCCUUAGGUCAGCACCCAACAUGUCAAUUCAACUGCUACUACUCUGAAGAAACAAAAUGUGUUAAAACUCAGACACUACAGUACUGACAUUAAAUGAUCCCAAACUGCAGCAUGUUCAGCCUCUUCUUUCUACAUCUCUUCGCCUACGGAUGCAACAUCUUCAUGUGGAGAAAGACACGCAUAAAUUACACGUUCAUAUUUGAAUUCACACCUACCAAAGAGCUUAAGUAUCGUGAUGUGUUCUUGAUAUGCACUACGUCUAUGACGAUUGUUGUCGGUGUCAUGUUUGCACACCUGACACUCAUUGUAAAAGGGUAUUCUUCAAGUGCAGUUCAAGCAAUCCCAGGGUGUCUACUACUGGUAUGUUCUAUUCAACAUUGCAAAUGUGAAAUUGUUGCUUAUUUUUGUCUGUUCCUGUUGUUAUAUCCAUAUGAGGCUGAUGCUUCUAUUUAUUAUGUAUUUCAGGUGUUCUUACUAAUGUUGGUCUGCCCUUUCAAAAUCCUCUACCGAUCAAGUCGUUAUGACUUCCUAAGAGUGAUCAGGAACAUCAUUCUAACCCCCUUUUACAAGGUAAUUUUCUAUAGUUAAAGAGCGGCACAUUUGAUAAGUAGAUGACAUGCAUUUUCCAUAUCAGAAACAUAUGUUAAAUUCCUAUUUAUAUACAGGUUGUUAUGGUUGAUUUCUUCAUGGCUGAUCAGCUUUGUAGUCAGGUAACAUCAUAACAGAAGCUAAAUGUUCGACGCGUUCAAUUGUGCAAACUUAAGACACUAAAGAUAGUUUCUAGAGUUUAGAGCAUCAGAUUAUUUUAAAUUUAGAAAUGACUAAUAAAGUAAUGACUACUGGCAAAUAGGUACCGGUGCUUAGGAGCCUAGAGUACCUGGCAUGUUAUUACAUAACCAGCAGCUACAAGACGCAAGACUAUGGAUACUGCACAAGAGUGAAACAUUUUAGAGAUUUGGCUUAUGCAGUAUCCUUCCUUCCCUACUACUGGAGAGCCAUGCAGGUAUAGAGAUGGAACAUGACUUGCCAAAUCAGAAUGUCCAUUCGUCAGACUUUCUAAAGGUAGUGAUACCCUUUUCUUAUUCUUAUGGUUGUCCUGACAGUGCGCAAGGAGAUGGUUUGACGAAGGGGACAUAAACCACCUUGUCAACCUUGGGAAGUAUGUGUCAGCGAUGCUUGCUGCAGGAACAAAAUUAGCAUAUGAGAAUGAUAACAGUGCUGGAUGGCUGUCACUAGUCGUCAUCGUGUCGAGUGUCGCCACUAUCUACCAACUCUACUGGGACUUCGUUAAGGAUUGGGGCCUUCUACAGUUCAACUCCAAGAACCCUUGGCUUCGUAACGAUCUGAUACUUAAACAAAAAUACAUCUAUUUCUUAUCCAUGGUAUGUUCUCUAAAAAUAUCAAGGUUUACAUCAAACCUUUUUGAGAAAAUAAAAAUUGUGUGAUGUACUUACAGAGAGUAACAUUUUACAGGCUUUGAACCUUCUUUUGAGGCUUGCUUGGCUUCAGACUGUCAUCCACCCUAACAUUGGAAGCCUCGAUUCUAGAGUAACUCUUUUCUUUUUGGCAGCUCUUGAGGUGAUUCGACGAGGCCAUUGGAACUUCUACAGGUAACUUUAUUGCCAAUGAAU
Molecule: long non-coding RNA, 2545 nt
Filed under: Brachypodium distachyon (stiff brome)
Lineage: Eukaryota; Viridiplantae; Streptophyta; Magnoliopsida; Poales; Poaceae
Description: long non-coding RNA (BDIS_LNC000768)
Source: RNAcentral